CGUGUAGGCGGCUGGCUAAGUCUGGUGUGAAAGCCCGGGGCUCACCCCCGGAAGUGCGCUGGAAACUAGUCAGCUAGAGUAUGGGAGAGGGAAGUGGAAUUCCUGGUGUAGCGGUGAAAUGCGUAGAUAUCAGGAGGAACACCGGCGGCGAAGGCGGCUUCCUGGACCAAUACUGACGCUGAGACGCGAAAGCGUGGGGAGCAAACAGGAUUAGAUACCCUGGUAGUCC
This 229-nucleotide ribosomal RNA is filed under the name uncultured bacterium. RNAcentral's name for it is "partial 16S ribosomal RNA". It matches the Rfam family "Bacterial small subunit ribosomal RNA", at positions 568 to 796 of the family's 1533-position model. The record is from RNAcentral.